GUUCGUAGGCGGUGUGGCAAGUCGGGAGUGAAAUCUCUGGGCUUAACUCAGAGUCUGCUUCCGAAACUGCUGUGCUUGAGUGUGGGAGAGGCGCGUGGAAUUGCAGGUGUAGCGGUGAAAUGCGUAGAUAUCUGCAGGAACACCCGUGGCGAAAGCGGCGCGCUGGACCACUACUGACGCUGAGGAACGAAAGCUAGGGGAGCAAACAGGAUUAGAUACCCUGGUAGUCCUAGCCCUAAACGAUCAGGACUUGGGGUGCCGCACGUUCGUGCGUCGUCCCGGAGCUAACGCGUUAAGUCCUGCACCUGGGGAGUACGGUCGCAAGACUGAAACUCAAAGGAAUUGACGGGGGCCCGCACAAGCGGUGGAACAUGUGGUUCAAUUCGACGCUACGCGAGGAACCUUACCUGGGCUCGAAGCGCACUUGACUAGCUAUAGAAAUAUGGCCUUCCCGCAAGGGACAAGUGUGGAGGCGCUGCAUGGCUGUUGUCAGCUCGUGCCGUGAGGUGUUGGGGUUAAGUCCCGCAACGAGCGCAAUCCUCUGCACGUAGUU
This 553-nucleotide ribosomal RNA is filed under the name uncultured bacterium. RNAcentral's name for it is "bacterial SSU rRNA". It matches the Rfam family "Bacterial small subunit ribosomal RNA", at positions 567 to 1116 of the family's 1533-position model. The record is from RNAcentral.